This 274-nucleotide ribosomal RNA is filed under the name uncultured bacterium. Its description in RNAcentral is "partial 16S ribosomal RNA". It matches the Rfam family "Archaeal small subunit ribosomal RNA", at positions 473 to 747 of the family's 1478-position model. The record is from RNAcentral.
AAACCAGCACCUCAAGUGGUCAGGAUGAUUAUUGGGCCUAAAGCAUCCGUAGCCUGUUCUGUAAGUUUCCGGUUAAAUCCAUUAGCUCAACUAAUGGGCUGCCGAAAAUACUGCAGAACUAGGGAGUGGGAGAGGUAGACGGUACUCGGUAGGAAGGGGUAAAAUCCUUUGAUCUAUUGAUGACCACCUGUGGCGAAGGCGGUCUACCAGAACACGUUCGACGGUGAGGGAUGAAAGCUGGGGGAGCAAACCGGAUUAGAAACCCCGGUAGUCC